This 482-nucleotide ribosomal RNA is filed under the name Lachnospiraceae bacterium canine oral taxon 073. RNAcentral's name for it is "bacterial SSU rRNA". It matches the Rfam family "Bacterial small subunit ribosomal RNA", at positions 9 to 493 of the family's 1533-position model. Lineage: Bacteria; Bacillati; Bacillota; Clostridia; Lachnospirales; Lachnospiraceae. The record is from RNAcentral.
GAGUUUGAUUAUGGCUCAGGAUGAACGCUGGCGGCAUGCCUAACACAUGCAAGUUGAACGAGAAGUUCUGGAGGGAGUCUUCGGACGAACGAAGGAAUGGAAAGUAGCGAACGGGUGAGUAACGCGUGGGCAACCAACCUUACACAGGGGGAUAACGCAGAGAAAUUUGCGCUAAUACCGCAUAAGCGCACAGUACCGCAUGGUACGGUGUGAAAAACUCCGGUGGUGUAAGACGGGCCCGCGUCUGAUUAGUUAGUUGGUGAGGUAAAAGCUCACCAAGGCAACGAUCAGUAGCCGACCUGAGAGGGUGAUCGGCCACAUUGGGACUGAGACACGGCCCAAACUCCUACGGGAGGCAGCAGUGGGGGAUAUUGCACAAUGGAGGAAACUCUGAUGCAGCAAUGCCGCGUGAAGGAAGACGGUUUUCGGAUUGUAAACUUCUAUCAGCAGGGAAGAAAAUGACGUACCUGACUAAGAGCCCC